UUUUGCAUUAUUUACUCACUCUGUGCUUGGCCAGGAAAUGCAUUUUGUUAACUGAUUUUUAUUAUUUAGGGAGGUUUUAGGGGAGUAUUGAGAAUCACUCCAGAAGAUUCACCAUUCGAGAUUAGCGCUGACGGAGUCAUUACAGUGGAGAAUUCUAUUGCUCUUGACAGAGAAAAAAGAACAAGCUUUUUUCUCCAGAUUGUAGCAAAAGAAGACAGCCCUCCCCAGCGAGAACAAACGGUGAAUGUACUUGUACACCUGCUGGAUGAAAAUGACAACAGCCCCAGCUUUGAUAGCUCUGAGUAUGUAGGGAAGGUUUUCAAGAACCAGACUGUCGGCAUGACUGUUGUCAAGGUAAAUGCAGACUGUGGAACUGUGUGAAAAAGGCUUGCUUCUGCUUGCCAGCAAUGGAGUGCUGGGUGAGGUACAUGUACAGAAUUUAAUCCCUUCAGGGCAUUGGAGUGCGGGUUACACUUCAUAAAACCAUGCAGAUAUAUUUUGAAGUAAUUCCGAUACACAACAGGACAAUGAAAAGAUGCUUGGCAUUUCAUUUUCAUUUAAGUAAGCUUUGAUGGAUAGGAAUAGGC
This 587-nucleotide long non-coding RNA is filed under the name Lepisosteus oculatus (spotted gar). RNAcentral describes it as "lncRNA (ENSLOCG00000021198.1)". The record is from RNAcentral. Lineage: Eukaryota; Metazoa; Chordata; Actinopteri; Semionotiformes; Lepisosteidae.